GACGAACCGAGCGAACGUUGUUCGGAAUCACUGGGCUUAAAGGGCGCGUAGGCGGGCCGUCAAGUCAAGGGUGAAAGCCCCCGGCUCAACCGGGGAAGUGCCUCUGAUACUGGCGGCCUCGAGGGAGGUAGGGGCGUGCGGAACUUCCGGUGGAGCGGUGAAAUGCGUAGAUAUCGGAAGGAACACCGGUGGCGAAAGCGGCGCGCUGGACCUCUUCUGACGCUGAGGCGCGAAAGCCAGGGGAGCGAACAGG
Molecule: ribosomal RNA, 253 nt
Filed under: uncultured bacterium
Lineage: Bacteria
Description: partial 16S ribosomal RNA
Rfam family: Bacterial small subunit ribosomal RNA
Source: RNAcentral